This 273-nucleotide ribosomal RNA is filed under the name uncultured bacterium. RNAcentral describes it as "partial 16S ribosomal RNA". It matches the Rfam family "Bacterial small subunit ribosomal RNA", at positions 29 to 314 of the family's 1533-position model. The record is from RNAcentral.
AACGAACGCUGGCGGCAGGCCUAACACAUGCAAGUCGAACGCCGUAGCAAUACGGAGUGGCAGACGGGUGAGUAACGCGUGGGAACAUACCCUCCGGUUCGGAAUAACUCAGGGAAACUUGAGCUAAUACCGGAUACGUCCAAGGUUUUAAUUCGGCCUUGGAGAAAGAUUUAUCGCUGGAGGAUUGGCCCGCGUCUGAUUAGCUUGUUGGUGAGGUAAUGGCUCACCAAGGCGACGAUCAGUAGCUGGUCUGAGAGGAUGAUCAGCCACAUU